Molecule: non-coding RNA, 6147 nt
Organism: Durio zibethinus
Lineage: Eukaryota; Viridiplantae; Streptophyta; Magnoliopsida; Malvales; Malvaceae
Source: RefSeq, a predicted model, not a curated record
CGUCACAAAGUUCAUCUUAAAUACUUGGUGAUAGGGCAAUUCAGUGUUGAUCCAAACAGCGAAGAAGCUAGACGCCUCCCACCAGAAGAAGAAGCUUGAAAUAAGCGGAAAAGCGAAGGUCCAGAUCGGCUUUUAGAUGGUCCGACAAUCGGACGGUCAUUAUUUAUUUGAUAAGGCUGCGUUCUUGAUCUUCUAUAACUGAAAUAUCAACAACGAAAAGAGAGGAGAAAUCGGAGUCCACAGAGGAGUUUUGUGGGGAUUUGUUUUGAUGCGAUCAAUUUGCGAUUUAAAUCUUGCAAAGGGUUUCGACAAAUCAUCAAAUUUGGCGGAGGCGAUUGUUAUUUAUUGAUAUGAUUUUUUAAAAAAGGAAACAGGUAUUAAAAAACCCUAGAUUUUGAAUUUCUACGCUUUUGUUGUGGUUGUUUCCCUCCUUCCAAAAUUAAAGCAGUGGAGUCCCUAAUUGAUUCGGCCUUGGUCAGAUCUCAAAGAAUCUUAAUCAGAUGAUGAACAGAUUUAGGGUUUUUUUUUAUGAAGAAUUUAUUGAAGAAACUUUUUGAAGAGAAGGGGAUUUUUUGUUCGGAUUCUCCUAGAUCAACCUUAGACGUAGGCGGCAUUGAAUUGAUUAAAAUUUUCUUCUGGGGAUUGUUUUCCACGAGGCUUUCGGUAUGGAUAGUGCUGGAGCUUUUGUCAAAGGAGUUUUUAUUGCAUAAAUUACGUGUAGCCAUUACUCUGGGCCAAUUUUAGGCUUCAAGAAUUAGGCUAUAUUUCUACUUAGUUUGACUCUAUCGAAAUCAACCUAGCUGCUUCGCCAUUCAAGACUUAGACACUAUUCUCGGAGCUGUCCUGCUGCGGCGAUAGACUGUUAGAUAGAAACUUUAGGGUGUUUAUAUUUUAUUAGAUAAACUGAUUGCUUUCCUAUGCGUUGCUGAUGUGUUUAUCUUCUGAUGGUGAAUUUGGUAUUUCAUGUUUAUAUGAUUUGGAUCUAUGGAUUUUGGGCUAUUUUUUUCUGAUUUAAGGAGCCUUGUUUGCUUGUUUGUGAAACUCACUACUCCGUAUCUGCAGAAAAGUGGUGUAGGACUAUUGGAGGGAAGAAUAAUGUUUGUCCUUCGAAGGAGACUAGGAGAUCUGAUGUUUUUGGCCUGUGGUCAGGCUGUGAGUCAUGGUUUGACUUGAAGUAGCUAGGCUGCCAUAUCUCUUUUUUUUGGCAUAGACUGAAACAAAUAUACUUCUAUUAUUACCAGAAGUAUUAUGUGGAAAUUAUGCAUAGGAAAGAACACAGUUUGUCUAAACUGUUCCUGUACUUGUUUUGAUGAUGAAACUUUUACUGUAUAUAUUUUGUUGUUUGCAAAGAACCAUGAUUCCAAGCAUUUGGAACAAAUUUUAUCCAAUGUUACAUUCUCAAUUGAGGGAAGUUUUCGAGGACAUCAAAAAUUGUCAGCAUGAUCUGCCUCAAGGUAAAUGACCUUUGGAGGCAUAUGCUGGUAGUCCUAUUAUCUACUCUGAGGCUCAAUAUACAGAUUAUAAAAAUCUAUUUUAUAAGGGAUUGGGUGUUUUAAGGAAGGAUAGACACUUAACGUGUUCGAAGACUUGAGUUUUAUAGUGAUCUCUAUAUAGCUAUCUGAUCUGUUAAUAUCUGACAAGAUUGGAGGAACUCAAUUAGCUAGCUGUAUUUGUUCUUGCACCAGGAGUUUCUCUUCUACUCUGGUGUCAAGAAGUAAGCAAGAAACCACGGCAUCCUGCAAGACUUGUUGUGGUAGACCAUUAGUUGAUGGGAUAGGGUCUGUAUCUGCAGGCAUGAUGAGCACAGUAGGUCUGGAACUCACAAGUUUUAUAAACCCUGACUUGACUUGGAAGACAGUGUCAAAGGGGAAUAGGAGUGGAACGAGGCGUACAAGGAAACCAGGUGCUAAAAGCUUGACAAUGGGAAUGGGGCUAGCUGAUGAAAAUGCGGGAACAGUGGAGGAAGUUACAGUUUCAGAGUCAGAGAAGCUUGGUGUGGAUGUUCUAGGACGGCGCUUUAGUGAAAAAGUAGAGAAUAUUCCAAUAAAGAAAAGGAGAUCUAUGUUUCAGUCUCCACCUCUAACCCCAUUGGCCUCUUAUCAGCACCUUGAAGCCUCUGGACGGUAUGUAGAUUUUCAACCUGCUUCCGGUCAAAAUUCUGGUUCAAAUUCAGCUCAGAGGCAAUGGCUCAUAAAAUCUGAUUGUUUUGCCAAGUCAACUGUUUCUACUAUUGAUGAUGGGAACAUUUCAGAGGUAAUAAAUGGUGUUGAGGAUUUCUCAGGGAUUGAAAUACUUGCAGCUGCUGCUUGCAGUGACUGCAUCAGUAAUGAUGUUGCUGAAAAUGAGGUAAAUCCAUUAGUAGAAGAAUCAACACAGGAGAGAAUUGAGUCUUCUGCUUCUGCAAUGUGUUUGGAAGAAACAAUUGCAUCAUUGGAGACUGCUUGUUGCUCUCCAAAAGAUUCAGUAAAUGAAAGUAAAACUGAGGGUUCAUCUUUCCAGGGCAAUUCCUUUGUUGGUUUGCAUGAAUCUCCUUGUGAUAAGGAUAAUACAACAGCAGAAAAGUCCAUUCGCUUGCCAGAUGAUAGGCUACUCUGGGAUUUAAAUCUUUCAAUGGAUGCUUGGCCUUGUGAUGGUGGGGAUGUUGAUUCUCAAAAGGAUGCUUUUGAUAAUAUUUCUGUGAGAAGUGAAGAGCUGCAGACUAAGGAACCUCAAGAUAUACAAAAUGAUGCUACAAAGAAAGUGGUUUCAUCUGUUGUUGAUGGGGGUAACAGUAUGACUUCAGACUUGAGAACCAUGCCUGUUGGGACUGAUGACUUGAGGAGAGAGAAACAGGAAUCAGAAGGAUGCUCUGGCUAUGGUGAGAACAAAACUGAACAUGUUACAGUGCCAAUGUUUGAAGCUGAAAAUUCCUUGAUGCUCACUUCUGUUGACACAAAUGCUUCCAUUGAGGCAGUGAGCAUGGAUCAAUGUCUUAGUCAUUCUCCUUUUCCUGAAUCAGAUAAGAGCAAAUGGGUGUCUGAGGAAAACCAAGAAAAAUCACUAUCAACUGAUAAAGUUGAGCUGAACUCAGUAGGGUGUAUUUCUGAGGCAGAGGUGGGCAAAACUGUUUGUAUAGAAGUUGUUCAGGUAGAAGAGUCUGAUGUUGCUUCUCCCCGUCUACCAGUUUUAGAGAUGAUUGCUAAUGACAUUCAGAACACAAGUGCUGACAAUGAUAAGGAUCAUGAUGGAGAUUCUGGCCUGCAUGAUGUUAAGGUUUUUGCUUACGGCCUGGACAAUCCUCGACCUCUAGAAUCCCUGGAAGUUGAGCAUGCAAAUGUGGCAGAGGAGAUGGACAUUUGCCAUUUUUCACCAAAGUCUGAAGAUAUGUCCAUAUCAGAUGAUUGUGUUAUUGAGGCUAUGGAACGAACUGCUGGAGCUUCUUCAGCCUAUACUGCUCAAGUUGAUUCUGUUGCUCAUACAGAGUCUGUGGAACUGUUGCAAAAUUCUUCCAGAAAUUCCAAUGCUACUUUAGGAGCUGGUGAGUUUUCUACUCAUGAGGCAUGUAGAAUCUAUGCUAAUGGUCCUACAAGUCCUACAAGUCCUACAAGCUACUUGGAUAAGGCCAACCCGAAUGAUACUCCUAAAGAAAGCCAUGACUCAGCUGUUUGUCAAGAUAAGGAAUUGACAGUUGGCAUGAGAAACCACUCAGAACUUCAGACUGGUUAUGAUUCACAAUUUGAGGAUGGGGAAUUGAGGGAAUCUGAUAUUCAAUGUUGGGAGGAAGCUGAACAGGUGGACUAUGACACUGAAUUUGAGGAAGAAAGGUCAUUUGGGUUGGAGGCUGAGAGUGGUGAGCAGAAAUUGAAGGUAGAAAGAGGAUCAAGUUCGGAUGUUACUGGGAACUUUGAAUGUCAUGAAACUGGAGAGGCUUUGAGGGAAAGUUCAGUGAGCUUGAAGAUGAGAACUGUGGAAGUGCCUGAUGGCAAAACAAAGAAAAUUGAUUGCUUAGAUGGGUCUAAAGUUAGAGAUUAUGAUCUUAGAGUAGAUUUAUCCAAGGUAUCAAAAAGGGAAUUGCUUUCACGUGUUGAAGGAUCAUUAUCCUCAAGCAGGUCUGACAAUUUUGAUGGUUCAUAUACUCGAGCUGAAAGGGAGGCUAGCUCUGACAAAUUCAUGGGGAGGGAUAGAUCUACUUCACAUAUGCGUGGCAGAAACCCAGGAGGUGGGCACUUUUUCAAUCCUUCAGCUAAUUAUUGGAAUUCUAAGCGGCAUCAUGCACCCAUUUAUCACGGCCCUUGCAAUUUUGGGCGCCCCAGACCAAAAAGUGUUGUUGAGAGCCGUGGAUAUCCUAUGGGCACAGGCCAAGCGCCUUCAGAAGCUGCUGGUGUUGCAAGACCUGACAACCGCAUUUCUAGGCAGUAUAUGGAUUCCUCCAAUGGUGUAUACAGGCCUCUCCUUAGAGGGAGAUCACCAGUUGAAAGAGAUGAUUCUUAUGGUAUGCAUCCAAGAAUGCCUACCGUAAGAGAUACUAGUCCCGAUCGGACUAGGUUUAGAAGAUAUCCACAUGGGGUUAGUAGGGGCAUCAGGGAUGAAUAUAUCAGGCAUAUUCCUGAUGACAGCACAGAAUAUUUGAGCCGUAUGCCACGUCGUUUAGGCAGGAGAGAAAGAAGCAUUUCCCCCCAGGGUGGAAGACCUCAUUAUACUGUACCUUACAAGAGAACUCGGUCAAGAUCAAGGAGUCGCUCGCCCAGUGGCUGGUUAUUGCAGAUGGAUAGAAAUGAGGGUACGAGACGUAGCAGCAGGUCACCAGAUUUUAGGUCUGAUGCUAGAAUAGAUAGGGUGAGGUUGCCAUUUACAAAGCGUUUUGCUGCAGAGUAUGAAGAGUUCAUAACCCCACCUCGAAGUCGCAUUUCACCCCUGCGAAAUUUCAGGAUGUUUGAGGAUCGGAAUCCUGGUUUAGACAAUUUUAGGGGCCGGAAAUCACCUGUGAGAAUGUUACGGCAAGGCCAAAGGUUUGAUCAAGUGCGCCCCAUUCGGAGAUUGAAUUCAGAUGAUAACUUCAGACCCAUGAUUCGAGGCAGAAGAUUUCCUGAUAUGGCUGCUGGUGGUAAAGGGUGUAAAUAUGAAGGCAGUGAUGAUGAUAAACAUGGCCGCAGACAUGAGAUGAUUUAUCGAGUGAGGCGGUAUGAUACGGAUGGUGCAGUCCCUCGGUUUCGGUCUAAUGUAGAAGAUUCAUAUGUGGCUAAGAACUCUUUAACCUUGACUAAUGCAAUUGGGGUCUCAUCUAGGAGGCCUGAUGAUGCCCCUAGGACAUCUAGUGAAAGAUAGAUCAUUUUAAGAUGCAACCAUGAAGAGGAUUUGGUUGGAAAGAGAGAUGUGUAACUUGGAAGAGGAUAUGCAUCUAAAUUGUGCCUGAUUUUUUUUGGUUGGUAGCAUCCCUUAGCGAAGAAAAUUUGUUCUCUUGGGGUUGAUCUUUUGCCUCCCUCCUUGUCUACCGUUCCCUCGUUUACUCCUUUCAAAGGUUAUAUCUUCUUGCCUAGAAGGUUGUCGAUACCUCUAUAUACGAGGCAAUUAAGGUAUAAUGGUUAAGUCGAAAUUAAGGGCUUUUUUUUUUUUAUGUUGCAAUGCUUCAAUUUAAUUUGGUCUUUCCUCAGUAUUAUUGUCAUUUCAUCUUUUCUUUGUCAUGGUUAUAAAAGAGAAAUAAUCGUAUUGGAUCUCAUUUACGCUGCAUGGUAAAUGCUAAUUGAAAGAGUAAUUGUUGAUCUUAACAAGUUGGUAUUUAAAAGAAAAUGAAAUAUACCACAAAGAAAUUAUCACUUGUCUUUUACCUACAAGCCUCUCCUUAAGACCAAUACUUGACCAGACCCGGCUAUAGCUUCUACGAAUAGCUGGCAAAACCCUGAAAGAAAAGAUGGAAUCACUCUUCAAGGUCGUUGUUGUGCCUGAAUGGAUGAGAACCUGUUGAUAUAACUUCUGAUGUGGUAGUUGAGGAGCUCUUUAGGGGCUAAGAAGCAUGGUGGGUAUGGCCUAUCACGAAGAUAAAAGUUAAGGGGAAAGAUGGCGAGUACGGCAAAGGUCGUUGGGUGUUAAUGAAAUUCUCGAUUAUGUUUUGUUCCGUCCAUAUCAAUUAAGGGUUCUUUAUUAUUUUAUUUAUUUAUUUAUUACAGGCUU